RNAcentral lists this long non-coding RNA (543 nucleotides) under Daphnia magna. RNAcentral describes it as "uncharacterized LOC123472478". Lineage: Eukaryota; Metazoa; Arthropoda; Branchiopoda; Diplostraca; Daphniidae. The record is from RNAcentral.
CUUUGUUGAACAUUAGGACUUGAUUGCCGCUGAUCGUGGCAGAGUUAAAACAACUAUCUCUCAUAUGCAUUCUUAUUCACAAAUGUUUCUUUCACCUUACGGCUACACCACCGAUUUACCUGCGGAAUAUCCUGAGAUGUUCCGUGCCAUGGAAAUCGCUGUGAAUGCGUUAACAUCCACGUACGGGACACCCUAUACCUACGGAAAUACCGCUGUUACCAUUUACAUCGUGAGUUACAGUGGCAUCUGGUGACACCACGGAUCAUUACUACGAGAACGAAGGGGUUGUUUAUUCAUACACUAUAGAACUUCGAGACUCGGGUACUUAUGGUUUCCAAUUACCGCCCGAUCAAAUUGUUCCAACGGCCACCGAAACCUGGAAUGGAUUGAAAGCAAUGAUCAAUGCUAUUUGAGUGUCGUUUGUAACGUCUUCCCCAUUAGUUAACGCAAAAUAAAACGAAAUGCCCCUUUGCGAAAAAAGUCUAUAAAAAAUAAAAAUAGAUUUAUUACUCUAUAUAAAAAAUGAUAAAUAAGCCGAUAUAA